AGCGAACGCUGGCGGCGUGGAUUAGGCAUGCAUGUCGAGCGAGAACGGGGAGCAAUCCCUUAGUAAAGCGGCACACGGGUCAGUAAUGCGUGGAUAACUUGCCCUCGAGACUGGGAUAACGGCGGGAAACUGCCGCUAAUACCGGAUGGCCUCGCGGACCGGCAUCGGACUGCGAGUAAAGGUGGGGACCGAAAGGCCUGCUGCUCGAGGAGAGGUUCACGACCUAUCAGCUAGUUGGUGAGGUAACGGCUCACCAAGGCGACGACGGGUAGGCGGGCUGAGAGGCUGACCGCCGACACUGGGACUGAGAACUGCCCAGACUCCUACGGGAGGCUGCAGUCGAGAAUCUUCCGCAAUGGACGCAAGUCUGACGGAGCGACGCCGCGUGCGGGAUGAAGGUCUUUGGAUUGUAAACCGCUGUCACGCGUUAUGAAUGCGCAUCAGUUAAUACCUGCUGCGUUGACAAAGGCGCGAGAGGAAGUCACGGCUAACUCUGUGCCAGCAGCCGCGGUAAUACAGAGGUGGCAAGCGUUGCUCGGUAUCACUGGGCUUAAAGGGCGCGUAGGCGGUGCGGUACGGUUUCGGUGAAAUCCCUCGGCCCAACCGAGGAACAGCCGGGGCUACGGCCGCACUAGACGGCAUCAGGGGACAGUGGAACUUCCGGUGGAGCGGUGAAAUGCGUAGAUAUCAGAAGGAACGCCGGUGGCGAAAGCGACUGUCUGGGGUGCCUGUGACGCUGAGGCGCGAAAGCCAGGGGAUCAAACGGGAUUAGAUACCCCGGUAGUCCUGGCCCUAAACGAUGCGCACUANGUAGCGGGAGGUUCCGACUUCCCGCUGCCCGGAGUAAAAUCUUA
Molecule: ribosomal RNA, 854 nt
Filed under: uncultured bacterium
Lineage: Bacteria
Description: bacterial SSU rRNA
Rfam family: Bacterial small subunit ribosomal RNA
Source: RNAcentral